RNAcentral lists this ribosomal RNA (274 nucleotides) under uncultured bacterium. RNAcentral's name for it is "partial 16S ribosomal RNA". It matches the Rfam family "Bacterial small subunit ribosomal RNA", at positions 523 to 796 of the family's 1533-position model. The record is from RNAcentral.
AUACGGGGGGGGCUAGCGUUGCUCGGAAUUACUGGGCGUAAAGCGCUCGUAGGCGGUUUGUUAAGUCGGAUGUGAAAGCCCCGGGCUCAACCUGGGAACUGCAUUCGAUACUGGCAAACUAGAGUAUAGUAGAGGCAAGUGGAAUUCCGGGUGUAGCGGUGAAAUGCGUAGAGAUCCGGAGGAACACCAGUGGCGAAGGCGGCUUCCUGGACCAAUACUGACGCUGAGACGCGAAAGCGUGGGGAGCAAACAGGAUUAGAAACCCCGGUAGUCC